This 876-nucleotide ribosomal RNA is filed under the name Staphylococcus epidermidis. RNAcentral's name for it is "bacterial SSU rRNA". The record is from RNAcentral. Lineage: Bacteria; Bacillati; Bacillota; Bacilli; Caryophanales; Staphylococcaceae.
UGCAGUCGAGCGAACAGACGAGGAGCUUGCUCCUCUGACGUUAGCGGCGGACGGGUGAGUAACACGUGGAUAACCUACCUAUAAGACUGGGAUAACUUCGGGAAACCGGAGCUAAUACCGGAUAAUAUAUUGAACCGCAKGGUUCAAUAGUGAAAGACGGUUUUGCUGUCACUUAUAGAUGGAUCCGCGCCGCAUUAGCUAGUUGGUAAGGUAACGGCUUACCAAGGCAACGAUGCGUAGCCGACCUGAGAGGGUGAUCGGCCACACUGGAACUGAGACACGGUCCAGACUCCUACGGGAGGCAGCAGUAGGGAAUCUUCCGCAAUGGGCGAAAGCCUGACGGAGCAACGCCGCGUGAGUGAUGAAGGUCUUCGGAUCGUAAAACUCUGUUAUUAGGGAAGAACAAAUGUGUAAGUAACUAUGCACGUCUUGACGGUACCUAAUCARAAAGCCACGGCUAACUACGUGCCAGCAGCCGCGGUAAUACGUAGGUGGCAAGCGUUAUCCGGAAUUAUUGGGCGUAAAGCGCGCGUAGGCGGUUUUUUAAGUCUGAUGUGAAAGCCCACGGCUCAACCGUGGAGGGUCAUUGGAAACUGGAAAACUUGAGUGCAGAAGAGGAAAGUGGAAUUCCAUGUGUAGCGGUGAAAUGCGCAGAGAUAUGGAGGAACACCAGUGGCGAAGGCGACUUUCUGGUCUGUAACUGACGCUGAUGUGCGAAAGCGUGGGGAUCAAACAGGAUUAGAUACCCUGGUAGUCCACGCCGUAAACGAUGAGUGCUAAGUGUUAGGGGGUUUCCGCCCCUUAGUGCUGCAGCUAACGCAUUAAGCACUCCGCCKGGGGAGUACGACCGCAAGGUUGAAACUCARAGGAUUGACG